This is a long non-coding RNA of Zea mays, 1907 nucleotides long. RefSeq lists it as uncharacterized. The transcript is spliced from 3 exons. Lineage: Eukaryota; Viridiplantae; Streptophyta; Magnoliopsida; Poales; Poaceae. The record is from RefSeq and is a predicted model, not a curated record.
CCAUGUCAUCGACGCGUAGGGCACGCGCGUCAGCCGUUCUCCACUCUACACGCCAAGAUCGUUCGCAGGCUCCGCAGGCGCUGUCAUGUGGGCCUAGGGGAUCGAAGCCAUAUUCCUCCCGGACCACGCGACUGUGGUGGUUGGGGAUUAGUUGAACCCCGCAAAUCAUACGGAGGCGCCCGGGAUUUCACCUGGGUAUAUAAGCAUGUCAUGCGCCCCUCUUUCGAUUCAAGUUGAGGGAACCGACCGCCGUGGGAUGUCGAGGUGCUCUGGUCGAGAGAAGUGGGGGGUCGGAGAUGUGAGCAGAGAUCCGCCGUGCGCUAGAACCGGUCACGCCGUCGUCAAACCCUCGGGAAUUUCUCCCCGGAAUCAAGCCGCCACCGCAGUACCGCGCGUGGCCAUGGUCAGAAUUCAGUGUUGUGCCGUAGCUGCAGCGAGGUUACGAGUCACUUGAAGACCAAGUUGGUACCUGGGAAUCUCGAGUCUAAGGCAAGUUGUGCUCUUGAUCACUUUUCUUUACCUAAUAAUGUUCCUGUUAAUCACUAUGACAUGAUCAGGUUAAUUUGAUGGGACCCAAUAGAUUUUCCUAGCAUUAUUUAUCCCCUACCUUGCAAAUAGAAGCACUAUUGGGUAGUUUUGCUAUUGUUCUACCUGGUUUUGGGAAAUUAAUGUUAUAUUAUGAUUAUGUUCUAGUUAUAUUGUUGUUUUAAUUAUUGUUCAUGACAAGAUCAUUGUGUUAAUUGGAACAUGGAGCGACCACCUGGGAAAACUAGUGCUACCACAAGGGUAUGGGACGCCCUUGUCUGACUAAUUAGAAAAGCUAGUAGAAGACUAACUUACCCGAAAGAGGCAAGGGCGGUAGAGGAGCAUGCGUAUAGGGAGGUUCUCGGGUCGAUCAUGCUGCGAUGGCUUUUCAGACGAGGGAUUCCUAUAUUGUUCUUCUCAGAAACCGUAGCUGGUUUUCGGAAGACAGUGGAACUUUGUAAAGGCCUCGUAGUGUUACCCUGCCUCGUCUCCUAGGCAAAGAUGAAUGGGAAGUUGCGAUCUCUUGGCAAAUGGGUAACACGACUUGUGGGUAAAGACGUGCAACCUCUACAGAGUGUAAAACUGGUAUAUCAGUCGUGCUCAUGGUCAUGAGCAGCUCGGACCCUCACAUGAGUAAUUUAUGAAACUAAAUUUAAUUUGUUAUAUGCAUUGCAUUGUGGGUGUUAUUAUUAAUCUUGAUCUCUUAUUUAUAUCUAUUUAUACUUAGUAACUGCUAAUAAAUUUUUGACCAACUAUAAAAGCAAUGCUCAUCUUUAACCAUCUCCUUUGGUAAGCCUUACACUUCACAUGAGCUCCCACCUUUGGUGAGUUUAUGCACAUUGUUCCCCACAUCUUGUUGAGCGAUGAACAUAUGUGAGCUCACCCUUGCUGUACUCACAUCCCCCAGGUCAAGGACAGGUACCACAGGAUGAGGCGCAUGAAGGAUGAUAUGAUGAGUUCGUGAGUGGUCUAGGCUGUCGUCUCCCAGUCAACUAUGGUUGUUGGAUCGUUGUCUUCGUAUGAUGUAAUUAUUUAACUAUUUUGUACAUAGCUUCGUUAUAUACAAAUGAUGUGACAUUCGUUUAUGUACCAUGAGUCAUCAUAUGUGUGAUACUUGAUCCUAGCACACUUGGUAAAGUUCGCGCUCGGGUUUUGGACCCCCUAAAAUCCGGGUGUAACAACUUACGUAUAGGAAUUGUUUGGAACCCUAGAUGCAUGAACUUAGGUUCCUUUUUUAGAUGGAUACUAGUAUGCUAGGUCGAGUAGUUGCGCUGCUAAAUAAGGAUCUCUGUAGAAGUCGAGUGAUUUUUCUAGCACUCGCGCGAGGUUAGGAAUUGAUUGUAUCCAACUUUUGAUAACAGGAUUAUGAUUAUUUUUGGACA